GAUGAACGCUGGCGGCGUGCCUAAUACAUGCAAGUCGAGCGAACAGACGAGGAGCUUGCUCCUCUGACGUUAGCGGCGGACGGGUGAGUAACACGUGGAUAACCUACCUAUAAGACUGGGAUAACUUCGGGAAACCGGAGCUAAUACCGGAUAAUAUAUUGAACCGCAUGGGUCAAUAGUGAAAGACGGUUUUGCUGUCACUUAUAGAUGGAUCCGCGCCGCAUUAGCUAGUUGGUAAGGUAACAGCUUACCAAGGCAACGAGGCGUAGGCGACCUGAGAGGGUGGUCGCCCACACGGGAACGUAGACACGCUCCUGGCUCCUACGGGAGGCAGCAGUAGGGAAUCUUCCGCAAUGGGCGAAAGCCUGACGGAGCAACGCCGCGUGAGUGAUGAAGGUCUUCGGAUCGUAAAACUCUGUUAUUAGGGAAGAACAAAUGUGUAAGUAACUAUGCACGUCUUGACGGUACCUAAUCAGAAAGCCACGGCUAACUACGUG
Molecule: ribosomal RNA, 497 nt
Filed under: uncultured bacterium
Lineage: Bacteria
Description: partial 16S ribosomal RNA
Rfam family: Bacterial small subunit ribosomal RNA
Source: RNAcentral